AUCGCAUUUCUUAGUUAAGAGAUUUAUCCAUGCAUGUGUUCGGCACUUUUUGUAGUGCCUGCGGACGGCUCAUUAAAACAGAGAUAACCUACUCUCAGUGAUAGACGGAUAACUAUGCUAAUUGUGUGGCUAAUACGUGAGUUUAUCGCUUGUCGAUGUCCCAACUACCUUGGUAUUUAACUUGAUAGUUUGUUGGGUUCUUAGGCUCUGCCUAUAGAGAAUGGGUCUCUGAUCUAUCAGCUGUAGACGGUUGUGUAUUGGACAACCGUGGCUUUGACGGAUAACGGGGAAUUAGGGUUCGAUUCCGGAGAGAAAGCAUGAGAAACGGCUUUCACAGCUAAGGUUGGCAGCAGGAGCGAAAACUUUUCAAAUAGGCAAUGCCUGAAAAGGUGACUAUCUGUAUCAACAACUGCAAUUUGUAGUUGAUUGAAAUGAGAGACCUCUAGACGGCGUCUCGAGUAGCAAGUUCAGGGCAAGUCUGGUGCCAGCAGCCGCGGUAAUACCAGCUGAGCUAGAAAUGGGUAAUAUUGUUGCAGUAAAAACGUUCGUAGUCACUCUCUUUCUUUCGGGGACUUCCUUUGUGUUUUCCUCUUUUGAAUGAGUAAUGUUGAAUUUAUUUGACAUUUCCUCCGCGAGUAAAAUAGAAUGAUCAACUUUGUUGGAUAUGAAAGCGCGGUAAAUCUUUAGAUGCCCUGGUUUUUUGCCUAUUAAUUAGGGGAUAUAUCUUAAGAAUGAAUGAGGACAUUGGUACUUAAUGGCUAGAGGUGAAAUUCAUAGAUUCAUUAAUGACUAACUACUGCGAAAGCAUCUGUCUAAUCCAUUUUUGGUGAUCAAGAACUAAAGUGUGGGGAUCGAAGAGGAUUAGAUACCCUCGUAGUCCACACCUUAAACUAUGCCGACUAGAGGUUGGUGUUGGUACUAUACUUCAUCAGAACCUUAGCAGAUAUGAAAGUCUUUGGGCUCUGGGGGGAGUACGGUCGCAAGGGCGGAACUUAAAGGAAUUGACGGAACGGCACCACCAGGGGUGGAGCGUGCGGCUUAAUUUGACUCAACGCGGGAAACCUUACUAGGGUAAGACACUAGAAUGAUUGACAGAUUACUUGAUCUUUCUUGAUUUGGUGGGUGGUGGUGCAUGGCCGAUCUUAGUUGGUGGGGUGACCCGUCUGGUUAAUUUCGAUAACGAACGAGAUCCGAGCUAUUUAGUUGGCCUUUCAGACUUUUGUUUGCUCAGGUCUCCUAAAUGGACUAUCAGUAUGAAGCUGAAGGAAGUUUCGGGCUAAAUCAGGUCUGUGAUGCCCUUAGAUACUCUAGGCGGCACGCGCGCUACAAUGGGUUACUUAAUGUGUUGUUGUGUCGAAAGACUCGACUAAUCACUAAUGUAUACCCGUGAAUGGGAUAGUUUAUUGCAAUUUUCGGACUUGAACUAGGAAUCCCUUGUAAGUACACUCAAGAAUACUGUACUGAAUACGUCCCUGCCGUUUGUACACACCGCCCGUCGUUUCUUCCGACUGAUGUCCAUUGUGAGUUGCACGGAUCUUUUAUUAGAAAAGUGCUGCGAAUGCUGGGCCUUGGAGGAAGAAAAAGUCGUAACAAGGUUAUCGUAGGUGAACCUGCGAUAGGAUCAUUCUCAUAUGAAA
This 1637-nucleotide ribosomal RNA is filed under the name Heliospora cf. longissima. Its description in RNAcentral is "bacterial SSU rRNA". It matches the Rfam family "Eukaryotic small subunit ribosomal RNA". The record is from RNAcentral. Lineage: Eukaryota; Apicomplexa; Conoidasida; Eugregarinorida; Uradiophoridae.